This 431-nucleotide ribosomal RNA is filed under the name uncultured bacterium. Its description in RNAcentral is "partial 16S ribosomal RNA". It matches the Rfam family "Bacterial small subunit ribosomal RNA", at positions 29 to 507 of the family's 1533-position model. The record is from RNAcentral.
AACGAACGCUGGCGGCAGGCUUAACACAUGCAAGUCGAGCGCCUCGCAAGAGGAGCGGCAGACGGGUGAGUAACGCGUGGGAACGUACCCUUAUCUUCGGAAUAGCUCUGGGAAACUGGAAGUAAUACCGAAUGUGCCCUUAGGGGGAAGGAUUUAUCGGAUAAGGAUCGGCCCGCGUUGGAUUAGCUAGUUGGUGGGGUAAAGGCCUACCAAGGCGACGAUCCAUAGCUGGUCUGAGAGGAUGAUCAGCCACAUUGGGACUGAGACACGGCCCAAACUCCUACGGGAGGCAGCAGUGGGGAAUAUUGGACAAUGGGCGCAAGCCUGAUCCAGCCAUGCCGCGUGAGUGAUGAAGGCCUUAGGGUUGUAAAGCUCUUUCACCGGAGAAGAUAAUGACGGUAUCCGGAGAAGAAGCCCCGGCUAACUUCGUG